GAUGAACGCUGGCGGCGUGCUUAAUACAUGCAAGUCGAACGAAGCACCUUGGACAGAAUCCUUCGGGAGGAAGACCAUUGUGACUGAGUGGCGGACGGGUGAGUAACGCGUGGGUAACCUGCCUUGUACAGGGGGAUAACAGUUGGAAACGACUGCUAAUACCGCAUAAGCGCACAGUAUCGCAUGGUACGGUGUGAAAAACUCCGGUGGUACAAGAUGGACCCGCGUCUGAUUAGCUGGUUGGUGAGGUAACGGCCCACCAAGGCGACGAUCAGUAGCCGACUUGAGAGAGUGAUCGGCCACAUUGGGACUGAGACACGGCCCAAACUCCUACGGGAGGCAGCAGUAGGGAAUAUUGCACAAUGGGGGAAACCCUGAUGCAGCGACGCCGCGUGAAGGAAGAAGUAUUUCGGUAUGUAAACUUCUAUCAGCAAGGAAGAAAAUGACGG
RNAcentral lists this ribosomal RNA (449 nucleotides) under uncultured bacterium. Its description in RNAcentral is "bacterial SSU rRNA". It matches the Rfam family "Bacterial small subunit ribosomal RNA", at positions 28 to 457 of the family's 1533-position model. The record is from RNAcentral.